UGCCUCGUGUAUAAAUGAUUGGGGUAAAGCACUGUCUCGUCUUUGGGGGUUUUACGACCUUACUGCCUCGAUGCAUACACAGAAUACGAUGAAGUUCGAUCACGGGAGACACUCUGCGGGUGCUAAGGUCCGCAGUGGUAAGGGACACAGCCCAGACCGCCAACUAAGGUCCCAAUGUCAUAGCUAAGGGGGAAACGUAGUGGGAAGGCGCAGACAGCCAGGAGGUUGGCUU
Molecule: ribosomal RNA, 232 nt
Filed under: Francisella tularensis subsp. holarctica
Lineage: Bacteria; Pseudomonadati; Pseudomonadota; Gammaproteobacteria; Thiotrichales; Francisellaceae
Description: partial 23S ribosomal RNA
Rfam family: Bacterial large subunit ribosomal RNA
Source: RNAcentral